RNAcentral lists this ribosomal RNA (253 nucleotides) under uncultured bacterium. RNAcentral describes it as "partial 16S ribosomal RNA". It matches the Rfam family "Bacterial small subunit ribosomal RNA", at positions 524 to 776 of the family's 1533-position model. The record is from RNAcentral.
UACGAAGGGGGCUAGCGUUGUUCGGAAUUACUGGGCGUAAAGCGAACGUAGGCGGUGUUCCAUGUCAGAGGUGAAAGCCUGGGGCUCAACUCCAGAAUUGCCUUUGAAACGGGGACGCUUGAGUCCGAGAGAGGAUGGCGGAAUUCCUAGUGUAGAGGUGAAAUUCGUAGAUAUUAGGAAGAACACCAGUGGCGAAGGCGGCCAUCUGGCUCGGUACUGACGCUCAGGUUCGAAAGCGUGGGGAGCAAACAGG